Long non-coding RNA from Eurytemora carolleeae, 278 nucleotides. RefSeq lists it as uncharacterized. NCBI's taxonomy places the organism in Eukaryota, Metazoa, Arthropoda, Copepoda, Calanoida, Temoridae. The transcript has 2 exons. The record is from RefSeq and is a predicted model, not a curated record.
UUUGUUAGCGUAGAGGGUGGUUAUGAGCCUGCCCUUGGACGAUAUAGAUCCUGAUCGUUUAGAGGAUUUUUCAGAACGUUUACUCUACACUGCAGUAAGAGCAAUUCUAAGACAUUUGAAUAUGGACGGGACUGAUUUGGAUGAGGUGGAUGUUGAGGUUGGGGAAGGGAUGGAGGAAGAUAAGUACGGAGAUAUGGAGUGGAUGGAUUUGAAGGGAAACAAGCCACUCAACACUCCAGAGGAUUGUCUGGAAUAUUGGAAUUCCUGUUUUAAAAAGG